UCAACCGGGUCAGCCCCGAAUACCCCGUCUGAUCCUCCCCGAUCCACGGGGCUUUCCAGCAUCGAGGGGUACCUCGCGUCUCACACGCCUCAUGCGGGAGGGAGAAGAGACGCGGCCGCGGUCACAAGAGACGGCGAGAACCGCGCGCAGCCGCCGUCGUCGCUGCUAACGCCGUCGGACGCCUGCUUCCUCUUCUUCCUAGGGAAAGCUGGCCUUCUCCCCCGAGAAGUGAGUGCGGUCAUGUGGCUUCGGAGCGAAAUGGAUGAGUUGCCUACCUAGAAGAGGGAUGCGAUGGAACUGAAGUAUGCAUGUGCGUCGGCGUUGAAACUGAAACUAUGUUGGGAAGCAGAAACCGAAUUUAAGUGAUGUUUGUGUUGCACCCUAGGUGUUGUUGGUACAUUCUGAUGCAUGCCUGUGUAUGGCCUUUGAUGUUCUUAGUUUAUAUGCCAUUGUUCUUAAAGAUUAUGAUUUGUUGCUUUCAGUAGUACUUGAUGAUAUGGCCAUUGAUGCUUCAGCGUGUUCAGCAGUAAAGAUCAGAUUUUAAUCAGUG
This is a long non-coding RNA of Triticum dicoccoides, 550 nucleotides long. RefSeq lists it as uncharacterized. The record is from RefSeq and is a predicted model, not a curated record. NCBI's taxonomy places the organism in Eukaryota, Viridiplantae, Streptophyta, Magnoliopsida, Poales, Poaceae. The transcript has 3 exons.